UAAUGAAGGAAGUAUGGUAAUGUGCACAUAAAUAGAAUUAGGUCUCUAGGCCUGCCCUCUCUGAUGUCAUUCGGCUUUAAUUUGGGGGUAUGGUUCCACGCAAAACAA
Molecule: small nucleolar RNA, 108 nt
Organism: Rhododendron vialii
Lineage: Eukaryota; Viridiplantae; Streptophyta; Magnoliopsida; Ericales; Ericaceae
Product: small nucleolar RNA snoR100
Exons: 1
Source: RefSeq, a predicted model, not a curated record